AUGACAUCUUAUGGCUAUGGCUAUUUUGCUUUCCAGAAAGACUAUAAAGAAAGAAAGGGAUCCCUGGGUGGCUCAGUGGUUUAUUUUUUUUUUAUUUUUUUUUUUAAUUUUUAUUUAUUUAUGAUAGUCACACAGAGAGAGAGAGAGAGGCAGAGACACAGGCAGAGGGAGAAGCAGGCUCCAUGCACCGGGAGCCUGACGUGGGAUUCGAUCCCAGGUCUCCAGGAUCGCGCCCUGGGCCAAAGGCAGGCGCCAAACUGCUGCGCCACCCAGGGAUCCCGGCUCAGUGGUUUAGCGCCUGCCUUUGGCCCAGGGCGCGAUCCUGGAGUCCUGGGAUCGAGUCCUGCGUCAGGCUCCUGGCAUGGAGCCUGCUUCUCCCUCCUCCUGUGUCUCUGCCUCUCUCUCUCUCUAUGUCUAUCAUAAAUAAUAAAUAAAUAUAAAAAAAUAAAUAAAGCACCUAGGAAUAAAUCUAUCAAAAAUUGUGCAUGCCCGUUGUAAAGCUUUAUUGAAAGACCUUGCAGAUGACCUAGUUAAACGGAGAUAUGUACUAUGACUAUGGUUACUAUAUUCAAUAUUGAAAAUAUGCUGACGUUCUUCAAAUUGAUCCACAGAUUCAAUAAAAUUCCGAUAGGAUUUUUUUGUGGAACUUGAUAAAUUGAUUCUAAAAUUAUAUGGAAAUUUAUAUGGAAGAGUAAAGGGCUAAUAAUAGCUCUUGCUCUUGAAGAAGAACCAAAUACAAAAAAAAAAUCAAUUCAAGACAAAUAGAGACUUAAAUAUGAAAGGAAUAAAACCGUAAAGCUUAGAAGCCAAUAUAUAUAUGAAAAUAUCUUUAUGACUUUAGGAUAGGGAAGAAUUUCUUAAGACACAAAAAAGCAGAAGGUGUAAAGAUAAAUACUGAUGAAUUCUACUACAUUAAAUAUAAGGACUUAUGUUUUCAAAAAAGACCAUUAAUCAGAUGUAAAUUCAAGCUCCAAAUUAGGAGAAGAUAUUUACCAAACAUAUCAUCAAAAACAAUUAGGACUUGGAAUAUAUGAAGAACUUCUAAAUAUUAUAAGAAAAAGACAAACAACUCAAUUGAAAAUUGGACAAAGGGCAUGAUUUAGGCAUUUCAUAGAUGAGGGAACACAAAUGAUUCAUAAAAACAAGAAAAGAUGCCUCAUUUUAAAUCAGGCUAAGACAAAUUAAAACCACAAUGAGAUACUAUUUCAUACCCACUAGACUGGCAAAAUUAUUAAGCCAAGUGAUGGUGAGGUUAGGGAACAGUGUGCUGUUGGUUGAUGUGCUACUUGGUAUGACCACCCUGCUUUACUUAAUAAAGUUCAACAAUAUGACCCAGUGAUUUCACUUCUAGAUAUAAACCUUAGAAAAAUAAUUUUUACAUGUGCACCAGCCAACAAGUAUAAGACUGCCCAUAGCAACACUGACCCUACAGGCAGGAAAAUUCAUAUAUCCACCCCCAAUACAAUGGAUAAACCAAUUGAAGUAUAUUCAUGCAGUGAAAUCACCAUUCACAUGAAUGAAUCCCAGCUGGAACUAUCAUCAAAGGUAAAUCUCGGGAUCCCUGGGUGGCGCAGUGGUUUAGUGCCUGUCUUUGGCCCAGGGUGCCAUCCUGGAGACCCGGGAUCGAAUCCCAUGAUUAUUUUUGUUGUUGUUUCUUCAAAAGUAGCUAGUCAAGAUUCAAGAUAGAAUUCAAAUGGGAGCGAGCCUGCCGUGCUUAAAAAUUAGUACAACAGUAAACUGUUUUUGAAAAACCACAUUUUCUUGAUCUCAGAUUUUUUUUACAUAAAUUAAUUUGGGGACAUAAAUUAAUUUGGGGGAGAAUAUGAAUAUUAUUUAGAAAUCCUCUUUUGUUUUAAGAUAGAUUUUAAGGUUCUUUAUAAAAAUGUUAACUUAGAAUCCUUAAUUUGUAAAAAUUAAAAAAAAAAAAAAAAAAAAAAAAAGGGAUCCCUGGGUGGCGCAGCGGUUUGGCGCCUGCCUUUGGCCCAGGGCGCGAUCCUGGAGACCCAGGAUCGAAUCCCAUGUCGGGCUCCCGGUGCAUGGAGCCUGCUUCUCCCUCUGCCUGUGUCUCUGCCUCUCUCUCUCUGUGUGUGACUAUCAUGAAUAAAUAAAUAAAAAUAAAAUCUUAAAAAAAAAAAAAGGUAAAUCUCAAGAACAUGAGGCUGCCACGUAUGACUGUGAUUGCAGGCUGUGGCAAUGGAUUCAGUAGGCACUGAGAUCUAUUCUAUGUUCCAUGUGCCAAGCUGUGCACACUGGCACAGGGAUGCCUGUCCCUGAAGGGAGGGGUGCUUUUUAAAUUUUUAAAAACUGCACAAAGACCCUCUAUAGGUUAGCUCUGGUCCUACAAAAUCAUAAUGUUGAAUAGAAAGAUCACAGAAGUACAUAUAUUCUGUAUUACUGUAUUUCUAGGAAGUGUGAAACCAGGUAAAGGGCAGCCCGGGUGGCUCAGCGGUUUAGCACCGCCUUCAGCCCAGGGCCUGAUCCUGGAGACCCCGGAUCGAGUCCCACUUCGGGCUCCCUACAUGGAGCCUGCUUCUCCCUCUGCCUGUGUCUCUGCCGCUCUCUCUGUGUGUCUCUCAUUAAUAAAUAAAGAAAAUGUUUUUUUUUUAAAGAAGAAACCAGGUAAAACUAAACAAUAAUGACUCAUAUAUAUUUCGUAAAACUAUAUAGAAAAACAAGAGAAUGAUUAACACAAAAUUCAGUAGAGUGAUUAUUUCUUGGGAAAGGGGAAGUGUCCAGUUAGGAAGGGCUCACGAUGGGUUGGGCAGCUCUAAGGUACUGAUAAUAUUCUAUUUCUUUGGCUGAGUAGUGGGUACUCAAAUACUAUGUUGUCGGGAUCCCUGGGUGGCGCAGCGGUUUAGCACCUGCCUUUAGCCCAGGGCUCAAUCCUGGAGACCCGGGAUUGAAUCCCAUGUCAGGCUCCCGGUGCAUGGGGCCUGCUUCUCCCUCUGCCUAUGUCUCUGCCUCUCUCUCUCUCUCUCUGUGUGCCUAUCAUAAAUAAAUAAAAAUUAAAAAAAAAUACUAUGUUGUCAUGCUUCAUCCUUUAUAUGCCUGUUUAAAAAAAAACAAACUCCUCCUUAUAUAUUCCACAUAAUGAUUUUAAAUCAAAGGGACUCCACUCAAGGCUACUGACUGAAGACAAGGGCUUCCAACAUAAGGUUUGGACAGGGUAGAUUGCCAAGAGGCCCAGAGCUGAGGGUCUGAGGCCUAAGGGGUCACAGAAGAGACACUGACUGCCUCAUGUGCGAUGAGGUGGGAGGACCUCAAUGGGAUAAGCCAAAGGUGCUUCAUGAAAAAGCAAAUUAAAGUUACAGUAAGAUACCACUAUUAGAAUGAAAACAUAUGUUCAUUUAAAAACUUGUACCCAAAAGCUCUUAGUAGUAUUAUUUGUAAUAAUAAAAAAAUGGAAACAAUGCCAAUGUCCAUUAACUGAUGAAUGGGUAAAUAAAAUAUAUCUCCAAAUGGAAUAUUAGUCAGCAAUAAAGGCAACAGAGUAUCGAUAAAUGCUAUAGCAUAGAUGAACUUUGAAAACUUGCUCAGUGAAAGAGGGCAGUCACAAAAGACCACAUAUUGUGUUAUUUCAUUUCUAUGAAGUGUCUAGAAAAGGCAGAUUUGUAAACAGAAAGAUUAGUGGUUUCCAGGGGCUGGAGGGAGUGUUUGUGUGGGAAUGAAGAGUGACUGCUAAUGGGUAUAAGGUUUCUUUUCAGGACGAUGAAAAUGUUCUAAAAUUGAUUGUGGUAAUGGAUAUACAGCUCUGUGAAUAUACUACGAGCCAGGGAGUUGUACACCUUAAGUGGAUGAAUUAUAUGGCCAUGUAAAUUAUAUCUCAAUUAAAGUAUAACCAAAAAAAAAAAAAAGAAAGCCUAAAAGUCUUUAAAAAUUUUUUUAAAUACCA
RNAcentral lists this long non-coding RNA (3892 nucleotides) under Canis lupus familiaris (dog). RNAcentral's name for it is "lncRNA (ENSCAFG00040025909.1)". The record is from RNAcentral. Lineage: Eukaryota; Metazoa; Chordata; Mammalia; Carnivora; Canidae.